RNAcentral lists this ribosomal RNA (506 nucleotides) under uncultured bacterium. Its description in RNAcentral is "partial 16S ribosomal RNA". It matches the Rfam family "Bacterial small subunit ribosomal RNA", at positions 29 to 523 of the family's 1533-position model. The record is from RNAcentral.
AUUGAACGCUGGCGGCAGGCCUAACGCAUGCAAGUCGGACGGUAGCACAGAGGAGCUUGCUCCUCGGGUGACGAGUGGCGGACGGGUGAGUAAUGUCUGGGGAUCUGCCCGAUAGAGGGGGAUAACCACUGGAAACGGUGGCUAAUACCGCAUAACGUCGCAAGACCAAAGAGGGGGACCUUCGGGCCUCUCACUAUCGGAUGAACCCCGAUGGGAUUAGCUAGUAGGGGGGGUAACGGCCCACCUAGGCGACGAUCCCUAGCUGGUCUGAGAGGAUGACCAGCCACACUGGAACUGAGACACGGUCCAGACUCCUACGGGAGGCAGCAGUGGGGAAUAUUGCACAAUGGGCGCAAGCCUGAUGCAGCCAUGCCGCGUGUAUGAAGAAGGCCUUCGGGUUGUAAAGUACUUUCAGCGGGGAGGAAGGCGAUGUGGUUAAUAACCGCGUCGAUUGACGUUACCCGCAGAAGAAGCACCGGCUAACUCCGUGCCAGCCGCCGCAGUAA